AUUCACAAUGUAUUCAGUUAGUAAACCUCUUCUAUUAAAAAGGCUAUACUUACUAAAUAGAAGUUCUCGGUGGAAAAUACUGGUUAUACUUGGAGGUGGAGACGGGGUGAAGUAAUGAAAAUAUGUGGCUGAAGAGACUUCCUGGGAUAUCUCCCCUAAACUGCAUUGGGUAGAAAUCCCGCAGGAGCAAGCCGGAAGUGGCUGGGCCUGGGCGCGCACUCUUCCGGUCGCAGCCAGCAAAGGCUUUUACGGAGCGCUGUUGGCGGGAAAUCUCUGGCAGCUUCCCAGGUGAAAUCUAAAGCGGACCGCAGCACAAGGAGGGCAAGGAGAGAGAGAGGCAGCCACUCCAGACUGGUACAGUUAAUCUUCAGGUCCCUGGCAUGCUGCCGUCCAUGAGGUCCCAAAGAGUCAGAAAUGACUGAGCAACUGAUCAGUGACAACGAUCGUCAAUUCCAGAAAGGAGGAAAUGUUCUACAUUCAACAGUGGGGUCUAGAGUAGCCAGCUACCAUCACCCGCCAAACCUAAGUCACAGACAUUCAUGGCUACAUUCAAGGAGCAUGGACAGAAGUGAGAGCAUCCCUAGAGAAGAAGGAAUCAGCCCAUGCCUUGGUAUGUUUUUUACCAGGAGUCCAGGAAAAGUCUCUUACAGCAUCUAUUUCUCAUAUAUGGCCCUUAACCAUUUGAAAGCAAGGACUUGAGCCUAGAAGCAGGGAUGAUGAGGGGUCAGCCAUGAAUUUAUGGGUUCAUUCUUUGACCACCCAUGACUCUGUUCACCACAAAUGUAUGACUCUGAUGCAAAUGCUUUAUGGGGACCAGCUGUAUUUGGAGAGUAUAUGCAUUCAUUUAUUCAAUCAACAAGUUUCAUUGAGCACCUACUCAACUUUAUCUAGGAUGAAACACGAUACGAGAGGUCCCUGAUCUCACUGGGUGUAUACUCCAUGAGAAUUUUUUAAUAGAUAUCUUAAGUCACUUUACUUAUAAAAACAGAGGGGAUUCUAGUCUGCAGAUAUAAACCACUGAGAAUAAUUUGCCUUGUCAGUCAGCAUAUU
Long non-coding RNA from Cervus elaphus (red deer), 1050 nucleotides. RefSeq lists it as uncharacterized. The record is from RefSeq and is a predicted model, not a curated record. The transcript is spliced from 5 exons. Lineage: Eukaryota; Metazoa; Chordata; Mammalia; Artiodactyla; Cervidae.